ACUCCAGCCUGGGCGACAGAGCCAGACUCCGUCUCAAAAAAAAAAAAAAAAAAGACACAGGGAGAAGGAACAACACGCACACUCCCUGCUGAAUUUGGAGAGAACUGAGAGGAGGCUGCGGUUUAACUAGACCUUCCUUAGAAUAAGAAGAGAAGAGAAAAAGGAAAGAGAGAGAGAGAUGGAGACACAUAAAGAAGGAGAGAGAAUGACAGCUUCUAUGGGUGUGUAGAACAUCAUGACAUUAGUCAGGUAACUACUUCCUUCAACAUUAUUUUCAUUUAUUAUUAAUAAGCUCAUUGCGUAUGUCUUGUCCAAACCUAGAAAGUCAACGCCCCCUGGGUCAACCUUCUAGGGUUAUACCUGCUUAGACCAGGCAGGGGCAGUAAAGAGCUACUAUGGUAGGAAAUUCCAGUGGGAGAAAGAGACUGGAGGGUUUUAUAGGAGGGUCGUAUGACUGUAAGUAAGCCAGAGUUAUUCCAGAACCAGACAUCUGAAGGGGGAAACCCUGAUGACCAUGGAAUGACAGUUAACACCAAGGUUCAUGACAGUUGUAAAUCCUGAGGGGUCAGGACUAAGAACCAUGAUAUAAAAAAUUGUUCUCAUCACAUGCAGGCAGGUAAAGUUGACAGGGUAGAUGAACAGAGCUUUAGAGGUAUUUGCAAGGACCUCUCCUCUUGCCUUGUGGUUCUUGAAGGAUGUUGGUUUCUCUGGACCCGGAAACUCUGCAGAGCUGAUCUACAGCCCAGAAGCAUGUGUGAAGAUAAAGGAGCCAAAGAAAAGACUAGUUCCUUAUCUUCAGAGCUGGAACUUCUGUUUCUAUUUAAGUUGAUGUGAUUAUUUAGAAAACUCUGUUUAGGGGUAUGUUUUAAAUUUUUUUGGUGUUGGCAUUUUAAUGUCCUAAACUUUCUUUACAGAUGUUUCUUUCAAGGGGGUUCUUGCAGUGAAAGUGUCUAGCACAACUAUUAAGUAAGACCAUGAAGACAGUAAAAAGGAGACACACUAUAAUACCCUUUUGAUAGUUCUUUGCUUUGAAAAAUUUGUGUUCACAAAAAUAUUUUGCACUGCAUGGGUAGCCACGCGAUCAGAAAUUUUUACAAAAGAUUCUGUGUAAUGUUAGUUUUGGAUCACAUUUUGAGUGUAAUGGUUCUAUACAAGGAUGAUUAAAUGUUGCUAAUCUGUCAUGCUUUUAAAAUCUUUCUUUAAAUCCAUAUCACAAUAAUGAGAACAUGCUGUGGAUACCAAGAAGGGCUCAUGGGAAUGGUCAAAGCACAAAGCUUUGGCUUUAAGGUCUUCUGUCUUGAUCUAAUAUACUUUGUGAUUGACCAAUACCUGUUGCUUACCAGUAAUUGAGGCCUGCACAUAAAUUAAGAGAAAACCAUUCUGACUACAGUCACAGUGAAUAUCAAAGAUGCAAAUUAGAUGCGGUAGUAAAAGUAGAAUAAGUUAAGCUUGUAAAUAUGGAUAAACUGGAUUCCCAUAAUAUUGAAACAUUCUUCCUUUCAAAGGAAUUAAUAUUCAAACUUGGCUCCCUAUAGGCAAGUUGAGAUAGAGAUACUGCUAGCAUGACAAAAAGAAGGCAAAAAGUUUUAAUAAAUAAAAAUAAUAAUCAGACACUAAACAUUAAACUCCCUCUUUUGCAUGCUUGUGUUAACCAAACACAAAAUUUCAAGCACAAUAAUUUGCCCACCAACCACAUUGUGAAAACACUAUGAAAGAAGACUCAGAAAAAUACAAAGCAAAGUUUUCCCUUUUGACUUUAGGUAUGAAGAAUGCUGUUAAAUCAGAAGAAAUAUAUCUUUCCCCAAAUUUCAUAUUAAAGAGAAGGCAGAAGAUCUGGACAUUCAAUGAUAAAUCAAUUUUUUAUUCAAAUUUUUAAAAAGUCAUGCUUAGGAAUAAAAGCAGGAAUGUUUUUACUUUUAAAGUAGAAGUGAUAGAGCAGAACUGAAUAAAAUUGAGACCCAAAAAUCCAUACAAAGAAUCAUUGAAACAAAAAGUUGUUUAUUUGAAAGGAUAAACAAGAUAAAUAGACUUUUAGCUAGACUACUAAUGAAUAAAAGAGAGAAGAUUUAAAUAAACACAAUAAGAAAUGACAAUGGUGAUGUUACAACUGACCAUACAGAAAUACAAAAGAUCCUCAGAGGCUACUAUGAACACCUAUUCACAGAAACUAGGAAAUCUAGAAAAAAUUGAUAAAUUCCUGGAAACACACAAUCUCCCAAGAUUGAAUCAGUAAGAAAUAGAAACCCUGAACAGACCAACAUCAAGUUCCGAAAUUGAAUCAGUAAUAAAAAAAAAACCUAUCAGCCAUAGCAAGCUCAAGACCAGAUGGAUUCCCAGCUAAAUUCUACCAGUUAUACAAAGAAGAACUGGUACCAAUUCUGAAACUACUCCAAAAAUUUGAGAAGGAGGGACUUCUCUCUAACACAUCCUAUGAAUGCAGUGUCUCCUGAUAUCAAAACCUGGCAAAGAUACAACAAAAAAAGAAAACUACAGGCAAAUAUCCCCUAUGAACACAAAUGCAAAAAUCCUCAACAUAGUACUAGCAAACCAAAUCCAACAGGACAUAAAAAAAGUUAAUUCACCAUGACCAUAUUUGACUUCAUUCCUGGGAUGCAGGGUUGAUUCAACAUACAUAAAUCAAUAAACAUGAUUCAUCACAUAAACAGAACUACAGACAAAAACAUAUGAUCUCUCAAUAGACAUGGAAAAAGCUUUUGAUACAAUCCAACAUCCCUUAUGAUAAAAAAAAAAACCCUCAACAAACUAGGCAUUGAAGGAACAAACCUCAAAA
Long non-coding RNA from Macaca fascicularis (crab-eating macaque), 2791 nucleotides. NCBI's taxonomy places the organism in Eukaryota, Metazoa, Chordata, Mammalia, Primates, Cercopithecidae. The record is from Ensembl.